Molecule: ribosomal RNA, 119 nt
Filed under: Oryza sativa Indica Group (long-grained rice)
Lineage: Eukaryota; Viridiplantae; Streptophyta; Magnoliopsida; Poales; Poaceae
Source: RNAcentral
GGAUGCGAUCAUACCAGCACUAAAGCAUCAGAUCCCAUCAGAACUCUGAAGUUAAGCGUGCUUGGGCGAGAGUAGUACUAGGACGGGUGACCUCCUGGGAAGUCCUCGUGUAGCAUCCC